This 735-nucleotide ribosomal RNA is filed under the name uncultured Fusobacterium sp. RNAcentral describes it as "bacterial SSU rRNA". It matches the Rfam family "Bacterial small subunit ribosomal RNA", at positions 28 to 776 of the family's 1533-position model. The record is from RNAcentral. Lineage: Bacteria; Fusobacteriati; Fusobacteriota; Fusobacteriia; Fusobacteriales; Fusobacteriaceae.
GAUGAACGCUGACAGAAUGCUUAACACAUGCAAGUCAACUUGAAUUUGGGUUUUUAACUUAGAUUUGGGUGGCGGACGGGUGAGUAACGCGUAAAGAACUUGCCUCACAGCUAGGGACAACAUUUAGAAAUGAAUGCUAAUACCUGAUAUUAUGAUUUUAAGGCAUCUUAGAAUUAUGAAAGCUAUAAGCACUGUGAGAGAGCUUUGCGUCCCAUUAGCUAGUUGGAGAGGUAACAGCUCACCAAGGCGAUGAUGGGUAGCCGGCCUGAGAGGGUGAACGGCCACAAGGGGACUGAGACACGGCCCUUACUCCUACGGGAGGCAGCAGUGGGGAAUAUUGGACAAUGGACCGAGAGUCUGAUCCAGCAAUUCUGUGUGCACGAUGAAGUUUUUCGGAAUGUAAAGUGCUUUCAGUUGGGAAGAAAGAAAUGACGGUACCAACAGAAGAAGUGACGGCUAAAUACGUGCCAGCAGCCGCGGUAAUACGUAUGUCACGAGCGUUAUCCGGAUUUAUUGGGCGUAAAGCGCGUCUAGGUGGUUAUGUAAGUCUGAUGUGAAAAUGCAGGGCUCAACUUUGUAUUGCGUUGGAAACUGUAUAACUAGAGUACUGGAGAGGUAAGCGGAACUACAAGUGUAGAGGUGAAACUCGUAGAUAUUUGUAGGAAUGCCGAUGGGGAAGCCAGCUUACUGGACAGAUACUGACGCUAAAGCGCGAAAGCGUGGGUAGCAAACAGG